Molecule: microRNA, 24 nt
Filed under: Zea mays
Lineage: Eukaryota; Viridiplantae; Streptophyta; Magnoliopsida; Poales; Poaceae
Description: microRNA miR-3066b
Source: RNAcentral
AUCUAGAGAGGAAGAGUGGAGCGG